RNAcentral lists this ribosomal RNA (863 nucleotides) under Panagrolaimus paetzoldi. RNAcentral describes it as "bacterial SSU rRNA". It matches the Rfam family "Eukaryotic small subunit ribosomal RNA", at positions 96 to 1000 of the family's 1831-position model. Lineage: Eukaryota; Metazoa; Nematoda; Chromadorea; Rhabditida; Panagrolaimidae. The record is from RNAcentral.
GCUCAUUACAACAGCUAUAAUGUAUAUGAAUUUACUGAUAAAUGGAUAUCUGUGGUAAAUCUAGAGCUAAUACAUGCAUAAAAACCUUUUUGUUUUAACAAAUUGGUUAAAUUAUCGUUUCAAAACUAACGGGUUCGCCCUGUUUUGUUAACUCAUGAUAAUUAAUGACCGUUCUUUAAUGAAUGGAUAUUCAUAUUUGGUAUCUGCCCUAUCAACUAUAUGACAGUCUAUUGUACGGUCAUGGUUGUGCCGGGUAACGGAGAAUUAGGGUUCGUCUCCGGAGAGAAUGCCUUAGAAACGGCUUUCACUUCCAAGGAAGGCAGCAGGCGCGAAAAUUACCCAUUCUCAGAACGAGGAGGUAGUGACGUGAAAUGACAAGCUUUAAUUCUUACGAAUUGAAGCAUUGGAAUGGUUGAAUUUUAAAAUCAUUCAAGAUUAUCAAUGAGAGGGCAAGUCUGGUGCCAGCAGCCGCGGUAAUUCCAGCUCUCAUACUACAUUGAACUGCUGUUGCGGUUAAAAAGUUCGUAGUUGCAAAUGUACAUAUAAAUGUGGUUUAUCAUUUUAUUAUGGUAUAACUGCAUUUUGUGUUAUUUAUAUUUUCUUUACGGAAAAUAUAAUGAUACCCUGAGUAAAGCAAAGUGCUCAGAACAAGCUAUUGCUUGUAUGUUUUUGCUGGGAAUAUCAAACGAAUACAUUAGUUGACGUUUGUUGGUUUAACAGCUAUGUAAUGAUUAAUAGGGAUAAACGGGGGCAAACGUAUCGCAGGGGGAGAGGUGAAAUUCGUUGAUCCUUGCGAGACGGCCUAUAGCGAAAGCAUUUGCCAAGAAUGUUUUCUUUAAUCAAGAACGAAAGUCAGAGGUUCG